CUCUCAGUCUCACUAAGAAGUAAGAACACGCGUUCUUUUUCUCCUCACCAUCACCAUGACUCACUCCCAGUGACACUCAUCCCUCACUCCCUCAGCCACUCCCUCACUCAUUCUUCCAUAUAUAAUUCCUUCUUGCUUCUUCUGGGUCAUCAAGAACACACAAAACAGAGAAAGAAAAUAGAGGAGGGAGAGCUUAAGAGAGGGAGGGCGCACCGGUGGGGCCUGGGAACGCUGCCGCCACGUCGUCGUCGAUUGAAAGUUGCCGCUAUUAACGGGACGAAUAGAAUGCGAAGAGGGGAGAGAAAUGUGUCCAAACAUGAACAAAGGGGGAGGAGAAACUUGCAGAGGAGAGAGAGACCGUGCUGCUAUUGUCAUCAUCGUCGUUGUCAAAGAGUGAAAGGAGACGCCACUGGAGCUGCUGCUGUUGUGGGUAUCGUCGGUUUUUAUUAUUGCUUCACUCCACCAUGACUGAACCGUAUCUCUCUCAAUCCAACAGAACUUGUGGCGCUGCUAUGAGGAUCACUGCUGAAGAAGACAAGCUACUGUUGCUACUCCGGUUCUGCAUCGGAGCUACUGUUACUGCCACUGCCGGAGGCGAUUAGCGUUGCUGUUGUUCCAAUCGAUGCUGCUGCCGCUGUCCCGAUUGCGCUGGGUGUUGCCGCUGCAGCGAAUUCAAAACAAAAGAGGGUUUAAUUUCGGAGUUCGACUAACUGAGCGACAGGUUCAGGAAACCCUUGACAAGGAGCCACGACCGGUCCAUAGAGUUUUAUAUAUGUAUUUCGUAUUUUCUGAAUUUUGGUUUAAUCUUAGAUCUUUAUUUCUUCCCUCGUCAUUUAUUGUUCAAGAGAUUUUAGAGGAAUAUGACUUGUAUUUGAGAAUCUUGAGAUAAGUCUAUGUAUAUAAUGUUUUAUAUAUA
Molecule: long non-coding RNA, 916 nt
Organism: Arachis ipaensis
Lineage: Eukaryota; Viridiplantae; Streptophyta; Magnoliopsida; Fabales; Fabaceae
Source: RefSeq, a predicted model, not a curated record